This 85-nucleotide transfer RNA is filed under the name Halalkalibacterium halodurans. RNAcentral's name for it is "Bacillus halodurans tRNA-Leu". It matches the Rfam family "tRNA". Rfam says of the family: Transfer RNA (tRNA) molecules are approximately 80 nucleotides in length. Their secondary structure includes four short double-helical elements and three loops (D, anti-codon, and T loops). Lineage: Bacteria; Bacillati; Bacillota; Bacilli; Caryophanales; Bacillaceae. The record is from RNAcentral.
GCGGUUGUGGCGGAAUGGCAGACGCGCUAGGUUGAGGGCCUAGUGGGGGGUUGACCCCGUGGAGGUUCGAGUCCUCUCAACCGCA